AGUGAACGCUGGCGGUAGGCCUAACACAUGCAAGUCGAACGGCAGCACAGGAGAGCUUGCUCUCUGGGUGGCGAGUGGCGGACGGGUGAGGAAUACAUCGGAAUCUACUUUUUCGUGGGGGAUAACGUAGGGAAACUUACGCUAAUACCGCAUACGACCUACGGGUGAAAGCAGGGGAUCUUCGGACCUUGCGCGAUUGAAUGAGCCGAUGUCGGAUUAGCUAGUUGGCGGGGUAAGGGCCACCAAGGCGACGAUCCGUAGCUGGUCUGAGAGGAUGGUCAGCCACACUGGAACUGAGACACGGUCCAGGGUCCUACGGGAGGCAGCAGUGGGGAAUAUUGGACAAUGGGCGCAAGCCUGAUCCAGCCAUACCGCGUGGGUGAAGAAGGCCUUCGGGUUGUAAAGCCCUUUUGUUGGGAAAGAAAUCCAGCUGGUUAAUACCCGGUUGGGAUGACGGUACCCAAAGAAUAAGCACCGGCUAACUUCGUGCCAGCCGCCGCCGUAA
RNAcentral lists this ribosomal RNA (505 nucleotides) under uncultured bacterium. Its description in RNAcentral is "partial 16S ribosomal RNA". It matches the Rfam family "Bacterial small subunit ribosomal RNA", at positions 29 to 523 of the family's 1533-position model. The record is from RNAcentral.